CAAUCUCCCAAAACAAGUCACUCAUCUGAACAUGGCUACAUAAAUCAAAAGCAUGACUUACCUGGACAACGUUGGAGCCAGAUCUGGGCAAACAACAGGAAGAGCAUGAGUAGCUCCACAAAGAACUUCAUGAUUACAAAUCCCAGGCAGAGUUAGAGACUGAUUGAUUAAUAAGAGUUGCGAGUAGAGCUCCCUGCCAAAGUGAUUUUGUAGUGGAAGCCCCACCCAUCCAAUCUCUUCAGGUGUUGGCAGUUAUUCUACUCCUUUAGAGAGGUCAAAGAAAGCCCUGUGAGGACCUCCACAACUUGAGAACAGUCAGACCCUUUUUGUCCCUGGUCUGCUUUGGGUCUAGGCACCAUGAUCAUGAAGAGCUUUGCCUUCAAUUUAUGAUAUCUGAGGUUUGGAAACUGGGAAUCCUCAGUCUAGUGUGGACAACUUGUAUCGACGAAAGACUUACGGUCAUUGUGGAGAAAAAUAUUUUUCGAAAUGGUACAAUUCUGCAACCUAACCAAGUGAUUCUGGGAAAUGGCUGUCAAGUAACUUCAUCUUCUCCAUAUCGAUUAUACUUGUCCUAUAGCCUAUCGCAAUGUGGGAUAGAUGUACAGAUAACACCCGACAUGAUUUAUAUCCGCAGUGUUUUGUACUUUUUAUGUGAAGAACGGUUACCUUGUCCCUGUGUUACUAUACCUCUGGUUUGUCAGAUUGCCAGGACAUUCACUCUAGAAGAAUUCAUUUUUGGCGAUUGGUCUGAUCUAGAUAACAUCUUUGCUCUUUGA
This 776-nucleotide long non-coding RNA is filed under the name Monodelphis domestica (gray short-tailed opossum). RNAcentral describes it as "lncRNA (ENSMODG00000047859.1)". Lineage: Eukaryota; Metazoa; Chordata; Mammalia; Didelphimorphia; Didelphidae. The record is from RNAcentral.